GAUGAACGCUGGCGGCGUGCCUAAUACAUGCAAGUCGAGCGAACGGACGAGAAGCUUGCUUCUCUGAUGUUAGCGGCGGACGGGUGAGUAACACGUGGAUAACCUACCUAUAAGACUGGGAUAACUUCGGGAAACCGGAGCUAAUACCGGAUGAUAUUUUGAACCGCAUGGUUCAAAGGUGAAAGACGGUCUUGCUGUCACUUAUAGAUGGAUCCGCGCUGCAUUAGCUAGUUGGUAAGGUAACGGCUUACCAAGGCAACGAUGCAUAGCCGACCUGAGAGGGUGAUCGGCCACACUGGAACUGAGACACGGUCCAGACUCCUACGGGAGGCAGCAGUAGGGAAUCUUCCGCAAUGGGCGAAAGCCUGACGGAGCAACGCCGCGUGAGUGAUGAAGGUCUUCGGAUCGUAAAGCUCUGUUAUUAGGGAAGAACAUAUGUGUAAGUAACUGUGCACAUCUUGACGGUACCUAAUCAGAAAGCCACGGCUAACUACGUG
RNAcentral lists this ribosomal RNA (497 nucleotides) under uncultured bacterium. RNAcentral describes it as "partial 16S ribosomal RNA". It matches the Rfam family "Bacterial small subunit ribosomal RNA", at positions 28 to 507 of the family's 1533-position model. The record is from RNAcentral.